UGGGGAAUAUUGGCACAAUGGGCGAAAGCCUGAUGCAGCAACGCCGCGUGGGCUGAGUGAAAGGCCAUUCCGGGUUUGGUAAAAGCUCUGUCUUUUGGGACGAUAAUGACGGUACCAAAGGAGGAAGCCACGGCUAACUACGUGCCAGCAGCCGCGGUAAUACGUAGGUGGCAAGCGUUGUCCGGAUUUUACUGGGCGUAAAGGAUGCGUAGGCGGAUUUUUAAGUGAGAUGUGAAAUACCCGGGCUUAACUUGGGUGCUGCAUUUCAAACUGGGAAUCUAGAGUGCGGGAGAGGAGAAUGGAAUUCCUAGUGUAGCGGUGAAAUGCGUAGAGAUUAGGAAGAACACCAGUGGCGAAGGCGAUUCUCUGGACCGUAACUGACGCUGAGGCAUGAAAGCGUGGGUAGCAAACAGGAUUAGAUACCCUGGUAGUCCACGCCGUAAACGAUGAGUACUAGGUGUAGGAGGUAUCGACCCCUUCUGUGCCGCAGUUAACACAAUAAGUACUCCGCCUGGGAAGUACGAUCGCAAGAUU
This 534-nucleotide ribosomal RNA is filed under the name uncultured bacterium. RNAcentral describes it as "partial 16S ribosomal RNA". It matches the Rfam family "Bacterial small subunit ribosomal RNA", at positions 355 to 895 of the family's 1533-position model. The record is from RNAcentral.